This 869-nucleotide long non-coding RNA is filed under the name Triticum aestivum (bread wheat). RNAcentral's name for it is "long non-coding RNA (TAES_LNC010322)". The record is from RNAcentral. Lineage: Eukaryota; Viridiplantae; Streptophyta; Magnoliopsida; Poales; Poaceae.
UCCUGUCAAAACCUAGCGUGCAGCAAUGAUCUAGCGUGAGGCCGAGCUGGGCAGAGGGGCCCUCCCCCUGUGAGGCCGAGACGGGAACGAGCCGGAGUAGGCGACGACAUGGUGUGCUGCGUGGUCGCAUUCGGAGGAGAGUCCGUCACAUCCGUGACCCCACUAUCUAUCUUAGGGGUGUGGCUCUGGGGUGCAUGCCGUGGGGGUGGAAAUAGAAUGACCAGAUUGUGUGCUGUCAAAAUAUAGCGCACAGUAAUGCGGUAGCGCGAGGCCGAGCCGGGGAAGGGUGGUCGGGACCCCCUCCCCUCCCCCUGCAAGGCCGAGACAGGAACGAGCUGGAGCAGGCGACGAUGCGGUGUGCCGCAUCGUCGCAUGCGGAGGCGAGUCUGUCACAUUCGUGACCCCACUAUCUAUCUCAGGGGUGUGGCUCUGGGGUGCGUGUGGUGGGGGUGGAAAUAGAAUAACCGCAUUGCGUCCUGUCAAAACCUAGCACGCAGCAAUGCAGAAGCACGAGGCCGAGCCGCAUGUGUACUUUGUGUGUAUUUGAAUUUUUAACUUCUAUAUUGUUUCUAAGUUGUGUAUUUUAGUUAGAUACGGACUUCAUAUGUUUUUUUAUUUGAACUUCUUCUUAUUGUUUCGUAGUGUUUAUUUAUUCAUAUGCCUUUACUUCGCUGAUUAGUGUACUCGAACUUCUGUUUUUUAUUUUUUGAACUUAUUUCUCUUGUUUAUAAGUGCUUAUUUUUGUGUAUGUAUUUUUCUCCCCUUGGUAGUGUACUUGACCUUUCUGUUUGCCAUCAAUUUUUGGUUUUAAGUAUACCAGCAGAUUUGUUAUGUGAUCUUAUCUUUUUAAAAUAGUUGCAUUCAAAUGG